This 465-nucleotide ribosomal RNA is filed under the name Vreelandella stevensii. Its description in RNAcentral is "partial 16S ribosomal RNA". It matches the Rfam family "Bacterial small subunit ribosomal RNA", at positions 338 to 795 of the family's 1533-position model. Lineage: Bacteria; Pseudomonadati; Pseudomonadota; Gammaproteobacteria; Oceanospirillales; Halomonadaceae. The record is from RNAcentral.
CCUACGGGUGGCAGCAGUGGGGAAUAUUGGACAAUGGGGGCAACCCUGAUCCAGCCAUGCCGCGUGUGUGAAGAAGGCCCUCGGGUUGUAAAGCACUUUCAGUGAGGAAGAACGCCUGGUGGUUAAUACCCAUCAGGAAAGACAUCACUCACAGAAGAAGCACCGGCUAACUCCGUGCCAGCAGCCGCGGUAAUACGGAGGGUGCGAGCGUUAAUCGGAAUUACUGGGCGUAAAGCGCGCGUAGGUGGCUUGAUAAGCCGGUUGUUAAAGCCCCGGGCUCAACCUGGGAACGGCAUCCGGAACUGUCAAGCUAGAGUGCAGGAGAGGAAGGUAGAAUUCCCGGUGUAGCGGUGAAAUGCGUAGAGAUCGGGAGGAAUACCAGUGGCGAAGGCGGCCUUCUGGACUGACACUGACACUGAGGUGCGAAAGCGUGGGUAGCAAACAGGAUUAGAUACCCCGGUAGUC